Chelonia mydas (Green sea turtle) is the source of this 2493-nucleotide long non-coding RNA. RefSeq lists it as uncharacterized. The record is from RefSeq and is a predicted model, not a curated record. Lineage: Eukaryota; Metazoa; Chordata; Testudines; Cheloniidae. The transcript is spliced from 4 exons.
CAAGCAGCUAAGGCUCUGUAGGGACCCAGCCCUUGCUGCUGUUUCCCUGGACUACUUGCUACAUAACUAACUUCCUUUUUCCCUGAAUUCACUAGCCUUGCAAAUUCCUCCACUCAGGGAAUGACUGCAGCUUGCUUUGCUGCACAGCCUCUUUGCUGUUUACUGAUCCUGGGCUUUAUCCUGGUUCCACCUGUUUCUGGCCAACUGAGCCUACUUCUAAUCAGUGGCAUUCUCAUGUGCUCCUCCUCCAGGUGCAUCCAGUGGAGUUCUUAUUGAAGGCCGGCCCCCAUAGCCCCUUUCAGCACUGUGUAAUACAGAUGCCCUAUAAAUAUAAAGGAGUGGGGACUUGGCAAGGCAAGAAUUCAGGUACAGUGGGCUGCUGAAGUGAAAAAUAAAGAGGAAAGAAAGUUAUUUACAUUCUUUGGAAGAGUUGAAGAUCAAACACAGAACAGGAUCAGAGAAAUUAUGGAAAUUAGCCACUUAAGGAGACUUGUAUUGGAGAGCUUGAAGAAUCUGCUUGACUAUGGAGAAUUGGAAGCCUUCCCAGGCAAGUGUUGUAAACUUCUGCUAUCUAAGCCAUCAUCAAGACACAGAUUACAAGCCUUAUGACUGUAAAGGUGUCUAAAAAUAUUCAAACAUUACAAAGUCAGCACAUGAAAAGUUUCCAGGCAUGUCUUUGGAGAUCUAAAAUCUGUUUGUGAAGUGACAUUCAUUCUACCACGGAGAGAAAUUUAUUGAAAAGAAAUCAAAGGAAUAACAGUUUGUAAUAAAGAAACAGGUUUGCGGUUCUAAAAUGUAAUGCUUCAUACUUCUCUCAAGGCUUGCUUGUGGCAGAAAACCCGUGUUGUCCAUUUUGUUUCAAUAGCUCUAUGCUACAGUGGAGCAUAAGUGAAAUGAAUUUCUCCUUGAAGGAAAACCAUAGUCAUUGGGGUCCAUGGGUGGGAUCCCUGAAAGUACUUAGAUGCCUAAGUCUCUGUUUUGGCUCCUUUGCAAUCCACAAACCUUCCACCAGACCCUAUAGGCACCUAAAGUCACUCAGCAUGUAAGGUUUCAGGGUAAAAUUUCCCCAGAUGUCUGUGUUUCUACAUCUGAGCACAUGUACUGUUGCCCCUGUCGAUCUCCCACCUAAGCCCCAGAGUGAUCCACAAACCAGGGGAAGACAGGCAUUCCAUGCAGGGUCUGAUUUGGUAGGGGCCCUUUGAGCAUACCUACCGGACCAGAUCCCAUUCAGAAUUCAGCAGGAGGAAGUGCUGUUGCUACCCACCUUAACUUUUAGCCCAGUGGCUAGAGCACGCACUUGGGAUGUGGGAGAGCCAGGUUCAAUGCCAUCCUCUCUACUAGAUGGGGAGAGAGGAUUUGAACAGCGGGCUCCCACCUCUCAGGAGGGUGCUCACACCACUGAGCUAUGGAAUAUUCUAAUGUAGGGGUCCCUCCAUCCUUCCUGUUGAAGCUGUUUCACUGUGGAUAAAUAAUCAAAGAGUGGUUGGAGCAGGGAGACUGCACUAGGGUGACCAGAUGCUAAAUACAAAAUAUCGGGACUGCCGCAGGGGGAGCGCCUUUUCAGUUGUUACACUCACUCGGCACGUUUGGUGGCGGGAAAUAAAUCUUGCCAGCGAAGAAAGAAGUACCCACCACCAAAAUGCUGCUGAAGCCCGUCAGCAACUGAAGUACCUGCCGCCGAAGUGCCGCCGAAGACCCGGAUGUGCCGGGUGAGUGUAACAAUUGAAAAAGGGCUCCCCCUGCCUGUCACUGCCGCCUAAGAGGGGGGAAAAAAGACACACCCGAAACAAAAUAUCGGGAUAAAUGGCGUCCCUACCAUGCUUUGGUUGGGACACAGGACAAACUGCUCAAUAUCGGGACAGUCCCGAUUUUAUCGGGAUGUCUGGUCACCCUAGACUGGACUGGGGUCUCCGACCUUCCCACUGGGUGCCCUAACCACUGGAUUACAGAAUCAUUCAUUCUCUAUCUGUGUCUCUGUCUCUGGCCCAAAGAGUAUUUAAGAAUUUAUCCACAGUGGACCUGUCAUUGGCCCAGCAGUCCAACACUCGGGGAGGCUCUAGGCUUCCUGUCCUCACCUCACCAUUCCUCAGGUGCCCCCAUAAGAAUCAGGUACAAUCUAACCUGUCACACUUAAAUCUCACUAAUCUCUGGCUCCUGGAUGGGGAAAAUGAGUGAGUGAGUAUAAAUUUUUAUCUGAAUAUUAUUUUCAUGGAAGAACAAUUACAGGUAUUUUUUAACUUCUUUGAAUAAAUUUCCCAUAUAAUCCUCACACUUAAUAUGAUUAUCCUAUUUGUAUGCCUGUAUCAUUUCUGUAUCUGAAGUUAGGAAUUGACUAUGUAUCAAUUACAAGUGGGUUUACACCUGGAGAACGCCUACCUGACAGAAUGCAAUCCGUCUGGAUGGGCCAUUAGGGAGAGCAAUAGGUCUUUAAAGAUGCUAAUCUCCCACCUUCCUGAGAAAUUUCCUGGGAUGCUACAAACAACCUUUGACUCA